RNAcentral lists this ribosomal RNA (280 nucleotides) under uncultured bacterium. RNAcentral's name for it is "partial 16S ribosomal RNA". It matches the Rfam family "Bacterial small subunit ribosomal RNA", at positions 231 to 524 of the family's 1533-position model. The record is from RNAcentral.
UCGCGUCUGAUUAGCUAGUUGGUGGGGUAAAGGCCCGUACCAAGGCGACCGAUCCAGUAGCCGGUCUGAGAGGAUGAACGGCCACAUUGGAACUGAGACACGGUCCAAACUCCUACGGGAGGCAGCAGUGGGGAAUAUUGCACAAUGGGGGAAACCCUGAUGCAGCGACGCCGCGUGAGCGAAGAAGGCUUUCGAGUCGUAAAGCUCUGUCCUAUGAGAAGAUAAUGACGGUAUCAUAGGAGGAAGCCCUGGCUAAAUACGUGCCAGCAGCCGCGGUAAU